GUCCGAGGUGGCUAAAUGUAGCAGUUUUAAAGGUGCUGUCCACGUUAUCAGUGUUGAGGGUGUUGAGAAUCAUCAGCCCUGUAGUGCGUGUGAGGGAGGGUCUCGUUCUGACGGGGGAAAGCCUACUUGGAGGGGUCGAGCACGCGUGGCCGAUGACAGGCACGUCCCCGAGACAGAUGAGCCUCUCCGGAGCACCUGGCAACACUCGGGAGGGUGAUGCCCAUUCCCGGCCCUUGUCACCAUCACGGCAGAUAUGAAGGGUGUGUGUUAUUGCCGCUCCGUAAACAGGUGGUGCAAGAUGACACCAGCGGCACAAUACCAUCAGUGAAAGACCGAUGACCGCCCCAAGCCAGCCAGCCAUGACCCCAUUCAGUCGUAACAUCAAUCACGUGAAAUGGAUUAAUCUCGCGUCCCAUCGCCCUUAAUAGUCUGCAUAGGUGGCUAGAUCGUCAGUCAAGAAGGGGAUAACACACACACACACACACACACACACACACACACACACACACACACACACACACACACACACACACAGUACAUUUAUCGCUUUGCUGGCACUUGGUUGACAUUCGCUGUCGACUAUUUGCUGCACAGAAUCCGAAAUGGUUCCCAAGAAGCGUUCCAGAUACACACACACACACACACACACACACACACACACACACACACACACACACACACACACACACACACACACACACACACACACACAUACACACACACACCUGUUGUUGUUGUUGUUGUUGUUGGUGCUGUUGUUGCUACGUAUGAUGGAUUUCCUAUUAUGAUCUUUACUCGGUAACCUCUGUUUGUUUGAGUGUCAGUCUA
Scylla paramamosain (green mud crab) is the source of this 828-nucleotide long non-coding RNA. RefSeq lists it as uncharacterized. NCBI's taxonomy places the organism in Eukaryota, Metazoa, Arthropoda, Malacostraca, Decapoda, Portunidae. The record is from RefSeq and is a predicted model, not a curated record. The transcript has 2 exons.